Molecule: RNA transcript, 2559 nt
Organism: Lates calcarifer (barramundi perch)
Lineage: Eukaryota; Metazoa; Chordata; Actinopteri; Centropomidae
Gene: taf1b
Gene name: TATA box binding protein (Tbp)-associated factor, RNA polymerase I, B
Exons: 18
Source: RefSeq, a predicted model, not a curated record
AGAGCGCUUCAGAGCCUCCAGUGAACCGGAAGUCAGAGAAGAAGAAGUAAACCCCAAACAAACCUCCACAUGUGGACGAACUGAUCAAAUCUACAGUUUAAACCAGCUGAUUUAAAGUGAACAUGGACGACGAACACACGGCCGGCUUCAGGGAGCCCUGUGCUCAGUGUUCGGCGGUGGACUGGGGAGUUUCAGACGAAGGUCGUUUCUACUGCAGAUCCUGUCACAACGUCAUCGAGAGAACCAGAGAGGUGGUGGAGACGACCUUCGCUCCCGGCUCCACCCGGGUCUCCACCAUCGGCAGAGGAUCCAGGAACAAGAGGCCGGAGGGCGGUCGUCAGUGGAUGAUCUGCGAAGGUUUCCAGUUCAUCCUGAGGAACCAGGCCGACGCUCUGCUCAGACUCGGCGUCACUCCACAUUUUAAGGACCAGGUGUUGCUGCAGCUGUGGAGACUUUACCUGCAGAGGAGUCGACAGGCGUACACCAACGACCCGGUGAGGAGCUCCAGGUUUAAAGUGAGAGGUCUGGACUCGGACUCGGACAGUAUGGCCGAGUCAUCAGUGAAGUCUGCCAGCGAGACGGAUGGAGAGGCAAAUCUGUCAAGCACCGUCGGAUCUAAUGCAGCAAGCUCCAGUGAUUGGUCGCAGUGCUCGGGCUCGGUGGACGUCGUCACCUACCUGUCGGCUCGGCUGAGGCGGAGUCGUGGUCUGAUGAGCAUGAAGAAGACUCUGGCUCUGAUCCACCUCGGUCUGGUCUGGAGUCAGGAGCCGCUGACACUCAGUGACCUGCUCAGGCUGGUGAACGAAGGCCACGUCCCAUACCUGAACGCCUACGAGGAUCUGCCCGACGAGAUGAGGCUCGACGGCAGAGACGCUGUCAUCUUCAGAGUUGACAGCGUCCCGUCCCACCGGGCGGUGCACACCGAGGCCCAGGAUCUGGCUCUGUACCUGCAGCUUCCUGCUUUUCCUCCAAUCAGCCGUAAGAGUCUGCUGCACCCAGCGCUGCUCAGCGUGCGCUACCUGACCGAUGCCAACCUGCCCGACGAGCUCCACCCGUGGGUCUGCAGCCUGAUGGAGCGUGCCGGUAUGACGGAUCAAACGUUCCACACAUUCGACUCCACAACCCGUCCUAUCCUGCCGCGGUACGACGUCCAGAGCGCCGCCGUCAUCAUCGUCACCAUGAAGGUCAUCUUCGGCCUGGACGACCACACAGAGUGGGAUUUAUCCAACGAGGUUGGAGUCCAGGACGACUCAGAGGAUGUGUUUAACCUGAGGAGGUGGUACCGACUGAUGCAGGCCGCUCUGAUCAAAGCUCAGCAGAAGAGAGACCACCACAUCGCCAGGAAACAGUGGAAGGCAAAGAAACCUCUUUACCUGAACAGGAAGAUGAAAACCACUGUGAUGAAAAAGAAAAGGACAGCAGAACAGGUUCAGAUCUGCUUCAAGAAGCUGUCUUCCCGCCUGGUGGGGAUCCGGGACUGUGAGCCGUCCAGCUUCAGGUUCUGCUGGGGGGAUGAGGACGGAGCGGACGGUCCCAGUCUGCACCACAAGAAACUGGACAAGGUCGUGACCCCGAAACGCAACAUCUUGACUCCCUCUAACUCCACGUAUUGGCACCCGGCGCUCCAAGCCUGCGAUCCCCGGAAGUGCAGGAGUCAUUACUCGGAGGUGGAGGCAACGUUGCCUCGGUCGUUUGUCUGGAUGCUGCAGCUCUUCUCCUUCCUGCUCGACGUGAAGCCGGCCUACCUGUACGAGGAGGUGCUGACCGUGGAGAGACGAGUCUUCGGCGGCAAAACGCCCUUGAACGGAAAUGUGAGGAGGAAGGGGAGGAAGACCAGGACCGAGGCUAGGACUGAGACCAGGAGCAGGAGCCGGAGUGACACCAGGACGCCACAGAGAUGAUGAGAGACAAGAUGAAAAACUUUCAAGAUGAGAGACGACGACACAAAGACUGAAACAAUCUGCAGAACGAUCUCCAACAGAAUGACACAGAGAGUGAAGACCAGGACCUGUGACUGAAACCUGCACAGAAACCAAGGGAGGUGUUGUCGUUCCUACGAGAGUUUUCCACAUGAAGAAGAAAACUUCACAGCCUGUGAUCAGCUGACCUGGAAACAACACCUACACGUGCUGCAGCUUGAGGCCACGCCCACCUCCUCAGGUCCAGGUGUCCUCUGGUCACAUGUCAGCCGCAGGUGGAGGUGACUGAGUUCAAGACAUAACAAGAACUUCACUUUACAGACACUUUGAUUUUCACUGUGAAUCACAUGAAUCAGGUUCUGACUGGGUCUUUACUCAAGGAAAAAAAAUAUUCUUCUCUUCAACAUAUUGAAAACAUUUGUUACACUAUAAAAAAAGGAAAGCAAUGAGGAAACUGCAGUGGAUGAGACAUGAGUUCAAAUAAAAGAUGAUUUCUGAUGAUUUAACUCACUCUAAUUAAGGCAUUUGUUCAAGAAAAUCCCUGUUUUUGUCAGUGGAGUCUGGUAGAGAUAUAUAGAGAUGUUUCUGGUUAAACUAAAAGGAUCUGACUCUUUAAUAAAAAGCUCUGUCUCUGUAGGAA